RNAcentral lists this ribosomal RNA (253 nucleotides) under uncultured bacterium. Its description in RNAcentral is "partial 16S ribosomal RNA". It matches the Rfam family "Bacterial small subunit ribosomal RNA", at positions 524 to 776 of the family's 1533-position model. The record is from RNAcentral.
UACGGAGGGAGCUAGCGUUGUUCGGAUAUACUGGGCGUAAAGCGCACGUAGGCGGCGCAGCAAGUCAGGGGUGAAAUCCCGGAGCUCAACUCCGGAACUGCCUUUGAAACUGCAGUGCUGGAAUUCUGGAGAGGCGAGUGGAAUUCCGAGUGUAGAGGUGAAAUUCGUAGAUAUUCGGAAGAACACCAGUGGCGAAGGCGACUCGCUGGACAGACAUUGACGCUGAGGUGCGAAAGCGUGGGGAGCAAACAGG